GCAAGUCGAACGAUUUCUAUGGGAGUACUUGUACUCACAAAGAAAUAGCGGCGGACGGGUGAGUAACGCGUGGGCAACCUACCCUAAACAAUGGGAUAGCCCUUCGAAAGGGGGAGUAAUACCAUAUAACACAUUUUUAAGGCAUCUUAAAAAUGUCAAAGAUUUAUCGGUUUAGGAUGGGCCCGCGUCUGAUUAGCUAGUUGGUAAGGUAAAAGCUUACCAAUGGCGACGAUCAGUAGCCGACCUGAGAGGGUGAUCGGCCACACUGGAGCUGAGACACGGUCCAGACUCCUACGGGAGGCAGCAGUGGGGAAUAUUGCACAAUGGGGGGAACCCUGAUGCAGCAACGCCGCGUGAGCGACGAAGCCUUCGGGUCGUAAAGCUCUGUCCUAAGUGAAGAUAUGACGGUAACUUAGGAGGAAGCCCCGGCUAACUACGUGCCAGCAGCCGCGGUAAUACGUAGGGGCAAGCGUUAUCCGGAAUCAUUGGGCGUAAAGGGUGAGUAGGCGGCAAUACAAGUCAGAGGUGAAAGGCUACGGCGUUAACCGUAGUANGCCUUUGAAACUGUAUAGCUUGAGUAUGGGAAGGAGAGUGGAAUUCCUAUGUAGCGGUGAAAUGCGUAAUUUAGGAGGAACACCAGUGGCGAA
RNAcentral lists this ribosomal RNA (647 nucleotides) under uncultured bacterium. Its description in RNAcentral is "bacterial SSU rRNA". It matches the Rfam family "Bacterial small subunit ribosomal RNA", at positions 57 to 719 of the family's 1533-position model. The record is from RNAcentral.